GAGUUCAUGCCCUUCGGGGUAGAUCUCCCACCCUUUGUAUACCAUACCUCUGUUGCUUUGGCGGGCCGCCUAGCUACUGGCUUCGGCUGGUAAGUGCCCGCCAGAGGACCCUAAACUCUGAUUUAUAGUGUCGUCUGAGAACUAUACAAUAGUUAAAACUUUCAACAACGGAUCUCUUGGUUCU
RNAcentral lists this unclassified non-coding RNA (184 nucleotides) under rhizosphere metagenome. RNAcentral describes it as "partial ribosomal RNA internal transcribed spacer region". The record is from RNAcentral.